AUAAACAUGAAUGUUUCCAGGAGUCCCUCGGGAAGUCAGCAUGACGGUGAAGCAUUGCCGCGGACUUGGUACGUCUGUGGGAGGAAGCCAAGUCAGGAUCUUCCCAUGUCGCCAUCUUGAACCCUCAACAGCUGUCCUUCCCCA
Long non-coding RNA from Neogale vison (American mink), 144 nucleotides. RefSeq lists it as uncharacterized. The transcript is spliced from 3 exons. The record is from RefSeq and is a predicted model, not a curated record. Lineage: Eukaryota; Metazoa; Chordata; Mammalia; Carnivora; Mustelidae.